RNAcentral lists this ribosomal RNA (492 nucleotides) under uncultured bacterium. RNAcentral describes it as "partial 16S ribosomal RNA". It matches the Rfam family "Bacterial small subunit ribosomal RNA", at positions 29 to 507 of the family's 1533-position model. The record is from RNAcentral.
AGUGAACGCUGGCGGUAGGCCUAACACAUGCAAGUCGAACGGCAGCACAGUAAGAGCUUGCUCUUACGGGUGGCGAGUGGCGGACGGGUGAGGAAUACAUCGGAAUCUACUUUUUCGUGGGGGAUAACGUAGGGAAACUUACGCUAAUACCGCAUACGACCUACGGGUGAAAGCAGGGGAUCUUCGGACCUUGCGCGAUUGAAUGAGCCGAUGUCGGAUUAGCUAGUUGGCGGGGUAAAGGCCCACCAAGGCGACGAUCCGUAGCUGGUCUGAGAGGAUGAUCAGCCACACUGGAACUGAGACACGGUCCAGACUCCUACGGGAGGCAGCAGUGGGGAAUAUUGGACAAUGGGCGCAAGCCUGAUCCAGCCAUACCGCGUGAGUGAAGAAGGCCUUCGGGUUGUAAAGCCCUUUUGUUAGGAAAGAAAAGCAGCAGGUGAAUACCCCGCUGUUCUGACGGUACCCAAAUAAUAAGCACCGGCUAACUUCGUG